This 400-nucleotide unclassified non-coding RNA is filed under the name uncultured Dehalococcoidia bacterium. RNAcentral describes it as "contains 16S-23S intergenic spacer region". The record is from RNAcentral. Lineage: Bacteria; Bacillati; Chloroflexota; Dehalococcoidia.
CUGGACUACCGGGGUUUCUAAUCCGGUUUGCUCCCCACGCUUUCGCGCCUCAGCGUCAGGAAUAGCCCAGAAAGCCGCCUUCGCCUCUGGUGUUCCUCCCGGUAUCUACGCAUUUCACCACUACUCCGGGAAUUCCGCUUUCCUCUGCUACCCUCAAGCCUGUCAGUUUCCCAUGACCCCUCCCAGUUGAGCCGGGAGAUUUCACAUGAGACUUAACAAACCGCCUACGCGCUCUUUACGCCCAGUAAAUCCGGACAACGUUUGAACCCUACGUAUUACCGCGGCUGCUGGCACGUAGUUAGCCGGUCCUUAUUCGUCAGGUACAGUCCUUACUCUUCCCUGAUAAAAGAGGUUUACAACCCGAAGGCCUUCUUCCCUCACGCGGUGUCGCUGCAUCAGA